ACCUGACCUCCCAUCAAUGGCACUGAUGCUGCUUACUGGGAGGGAGAAGGGAGAGAUGGAAGUGAGGUCAGCACGGUGCAAAUGCCCUGGUGAAGUUCAACUGGUGCUUCUACCGGUGCAUUUGCACCAUGCUGACCUCACCAUCCUAUCUCUUCUUCCCUGCUUCCUCCCAUUAUGCUGCAACAACACCAGUGAUGGGAGGUCAGC
Podarcis lilfordi (Lilford's wall lizard) is the source of this 207-nucleotide non-coding RNA. NCBI's taxonomy places the organism in Eukaryota, Metazoa, Chordata, Lepidosauria, Squamata, Lacertidae. The record is from the annotation of a GenBank genome assembly.